RNAcentral lists this ribosomal RNA (387 nucleotides) under Salmonella enterica subsp. enterica serovar Bareilly. RNAcentral describes it as "partial 23S ribosomal RNA". It matches the Rfam family "Bacterial large subunit ribosomal RNA", at positions 161 to 586 of the family's 2925-position model. RNAcentral also lists the same sequence under 2 other names. The record is from RNAcentral. Lineage: Bacteria; Pseudomonadati; Pseudomonadota; Gammaproteobacteria; Enterobacterales; Enterobacteriaceae.
AAUCCAUAGGUUAAUGAGGCGAACCGGGGGAACUGAAACAUCUAAGUACCCCGAGGAAAAGAAAUCAACCGAGAUUCCCCCAGUAGCGGCGAGCGAACGGGGAGGAGCCCAGAGCCUGAAUCAGCAUGUGUGUUAGUGGAAGCGUCUGGAAAGGCGCGCGAUACAGGGUGACAGCCCCGUACACAAAAGCGCAUGUGCUGUGAGCUCGAUGAGUAGGGCGGGACACGUGGUAUCCUGUCUGAAUAUGGGGGGACCAUCCUCCAAGGCUAAAUACUCCUGACUGACCGAUAGUGAACCAGUACCGUGAGGGAAAGGCGAAAAGAACCCCGGCGAGGGGAGUGAAAAAGAACCUGAAACCGUGUACGUACAAGCAGUGGGAGCACAGGU